RNAcentral lists this long non-coding RNA (939 nucleotides) under Rosa chinensis. Its description in RNAcentral is "sRNA RchiOBHm_Chr7g0226801". The record is from RNAcentral. Lineage: Eukaryota; Viridiplantae; Streptophyta; Magnoliopsida; Rosales; Rosaceae.
UUGUGUACUAUAGGUUGAAUUACUUGCACUAGGCUAUGUUUAGGAUGAAGGAUGUCUAGUUUCAACAUCUUCGUUUCUUUUGUCCGGAGAACUGAAGGAAUGUUGGUUUAAUUCACCGCUGCAAUUUGAGAUAUGGCUCAUUAAUUUUGGUGCUGAUUAAUGGAAUGUGCUUUAGUUUGAGCUGCAUCUGUCCUUGUUUUUGAAAAGAUUUGAUGUCUUAGUAUGCAAUUUGAGCUUUGUUUUUCAAAUCAGGUUGGUUUAUGAAUUAUUUCCAUUUAUUUUCAUGAAGAUGAGUACUCUCACAUUUGGGUUCCAAAUCUUCUUUACUGCAUAAAACUUCCUAGAAGUAGGGAUGCAAAAUUCCUCACUGAACAGAUGACGAUAUCAGCUAUUCUCCUCCCUGUCGAAUUGUGCGUAUGUAAGUAGCUCUAUAAAUCAUAUUGAAGUUUUUGGAAAAUAUGCAUGAAUGAUAAAGUGGUAGUUUCAUUUUGUAUGCAGCACCUUGGCAAGAUUCUGGUUUCUUAAUAGAACCAAUAGCUCAUGUACACAGAAGAUGAUACAAAAGUCUAGUUUUCCAGUGUUAACUGUUCUGGAACUAUCAUGAUCAAGAUCAUUAUGAAUAACUUUGCUUUCCCUUGUUAAGCUGGUAUUGAGUCUUUGAUUUAAAAUUAAGUCAAGUCUAUUAUGUCCGUCUUGUUAGCUAGCUUCAGCAUUAUCAAUGAUGAUAUGUACAUAAGAGUUGUCUACUCCAUUGUCUUCAUCUUGUACGUUCUGUUAGAUAGUAAUUUGAUGAACCGACAUUCACUUUUCCGAUAUGGUUUCGUUUAAUAUUGAAUAUUUUUGUAUUUGCAAAAAAUCAUAUAUAUGCAGUUUGUGCUGCAUCCUACUCCUUUGAUUCCAAAUCUUCUCUACUUUUUAAAACUCCCUAGACGGACAUAA